RNAcentral lists this long non-coding RNA (1418 nucleotides) under Equus asinus (donkey). RNAcentral describes it as "lncRNA (ENSEASG00005027875.1)". Lineage: Eukaryota; Metazoa; Chordata; Mammalia; Perissodactyla; Equidae. The record is from RNAcentral.
CUGGAGGCUGGAACAGCCCUUGCCUCAUCGCUUUCUCUGCAUCCUUAACCCGGCGUCCCAGCCUGACCACCCAGUGGGAGGAGGACCCGGGGACAGAAUGCAGUUGAUUUCAGCCAACACCUCUCAAACCUCACUUUUCCACGACUCUUCAGCCAUUUUACAAAAUAUCUGGCACGUACUUUUCAAAAAUGCUAAGAUGGCAAAAUACCAAGACUCGAGAACUGUUGCCAGUUAAAGGAGCUAAAGAGACGCGGCAACCGAAUGCAAAGUGUGAGCUGGGGUUUUACUGGGACGGAGGGUGAAAUCAGGAUGAGGUCUCCAGAUUAGGUAACAGUACUGUGUCUGUGUCAACUCCCUGAUUUUGACAAGCGUACUGUAGUUAUGUAAGAAAAUGUUCCUGCUUUUAGGAAAUAUACACUAAAGUAUUGAUUUUUUUUUUUUUGGGUGAGGAAGAUUGGCCCUGAGCUAACAUCCGUGCCCAUCUUCCUUUAUUUUGUAUGUGAGAGGCCACCACGGCGUGGCUUGAUGAGCUGUGCGCAGGUCCACACGAGGGAGCCGAACCUGCAAACCCCAGGCCACCAAAGUAGAGUGGGCAACCUGACCACUCCAUCACCGGGCUGGCCCCAAGAAAACCUGUUUUUAGAUGGUUCAGAAAAAAAUAAUCUCUGUGCAUGUGUGCGUGUGGGUAGGUAGUGGGGAGAAAAAGAGAGAGAGAGAGAAAGUAGAAAAAUGUUAAUACUAGGGAAUCUGGAUAAAGGAUAUCCAGGAAUUCUUUGUAUGACUUUUGCAACUUUUCUCUAAGUCUGAAAUUGUUUUAAAAUUUAAAACACAUUUAAAAGAAACUUUACGUUGCUGUUAUAAGCGGGAAACCAGCACCGCUUGCUCAGAAUUGAAGGUGAUUCUAAAAUGAAGCAAUGCUCUUACUCUUGCUGGUACACUGGUCUGCUAGGUCUGGGCCCUAGACCGCCUGUUCUUGGCUCUGGGUGCGGAUGGGCGAGGGCGGGGAGGCGUCAAGACGUCCUGGCGCCAGCCCAAGAUGUUCUCCUUGAUGUCAUGAGAAAGACUGGCACGGAGUAGAAAAGGCCAUCGCUUUCUCAUGAUGUGAUCCGAUGAUAUUUAGAGUCCUGUCCUAUGGGUACGAGCUCAGGGACAUUCAUUUCAUGUCAGUUUAACGGGCACCCUGGGGCCAGGCACGUUAUGGAGCCCUGGCACCCAGAGAGGACGAGGUCUCCGCCCUCAGGAAGCUCACGAGCUGGGCAGAGACACUUAUGGGCAGGACUGGGGUGGAUGUGUGUCCAGGUAGAGCUCGCUUCUCCGAAUCCCGACGCUCCUGGGGUCCCUUGGAGUCCAGAGGUGAUGACCCUGGGGCUAGCAGGUGGCCCGGGAGCAGGCACACAGCAGGAACAGCUCAGAGCUGG